Long non-coding RNA from Myxocyprinus asiaticus (Chinese sucker), 3093 nucleotides. RefSeq lists it as uncharacterized. Lineage: Eukaryota; Metazoa; Chordata; Actinopteri; Cypriniformes; Catostomidae. The transcript is spliced from 3 exons. The record is from RefSeq and is a predicted model, not a curated record.
UUGUCGCUUAGUCAUAUGCCGGCCGAUUAAUUGCAUAGAUCUCACGGACACAAAAUCGCCAGCCCAUUCAUAGUCAUGCAGGGUUUACUAAUAUCAUCUGGUUUGGCCGCCUACUGCUUGCUCAUAACCAGAUGAUAGUUUUAUUUAGUCACGUUUCAUACAACUUGCUAAGACGGUGAUAAACAGUGACUGGUAGUCUUACGUGGUUUUCUCCUAUUCAUAAGCUCCAGUAAUGAUCGUUAUCCUGGACACAAGUUUGCGGUAACAAAAGGCGUCCCUCGAAUCUACCGGUGAUAAAUGAUUUCGGAUGAAUACAGAAAAAAGUAACAAUUUAUUUGCCAGGUAGGAUUUAAAAUGUAAGCUACAAAAUCAAAGCCAAUUUCACACAUGAUCAGAAUAAAUAAACAUUUCUAAAAAUAAAAGACAAGUCAAAGAAACAUAUCUGACAAAACUACAUGCAGCGGUACAGCAUGGGAGAUCUGCUUACAGAUUCCCUGAGCUUCUUGCCAACCCUCCUUAAAUACCAAACAAUUCUAUUGUUAUUUCAGAUGUGUUUGUUUGAUGUUAUUCAGGAUUUGGUUUACAAUUUAGGAGGUUGUAAGUAGACCUUCGAAACUUUUGAUGUUUACAACGAAUGCACCUAAUCUGAUGGUUUCCGUGAGGGAUCUGGGAGGGGUCGUGUCUCUGAUAGAAUACAGUAUUUACAAAGUUCUUAAAUCUUACUUGUGAUUUGACUUUGCUGAAAGGGAAUGAGACCGUUUUACCAGUUGCAAUGAGACCUCUUGAAUGAUACCAAACAUGUAUGAUCAAAGAAAACCUUUUACAUUACAAAACAGGAUAAGUCAUAACUUAGUUUUUGGUGUUCUUAAAGUGACCUGAGUUGAGAGAGAGAGCAGAUGUGAGUAAGAUUUGCGAGAAGAGGAUAAGUCAUCCUAAAGUGACCUGAGGUGAGAGAGAUUUGUGUUUUAUGGUCCUUAAGAAGUAGGGAGUGUUGUCUUUAGGUGGAGAUGCUUAUCUGUGUGAGAGAUUUAUGAUGUUGGUUCUCACAGAGACUUUUAGGUGUAGACAUUCUGGUGCCAGCCUUACAAUGUCACGUUCAUUUUGUGAACGUGUGCCUAUUAAGAAACAUCCAACAACUUGCAAAGUGUUGAUCAGAAUCAAGCAUUAGUACCGAAACAAAAAGCAUCAUCUGUGGUGUGGAUUCACUAGCGAUGAUGUCGAGCAGUGCGUUGUACUGUGUAAGUUAUGUCAAACAACUGUUUCCCCGUACCCGGCAGGUUCCCAAAGGCAAAUGAUGAUAACUGAAGCAAUAAACUAUUUCAUUGCAAAAGACAUGGCGCCAAUUAAUACGGUUUGCAGCGUAGGGUUUAAAAAGCUCAAACACUCUGGAUAAGAGAUAUGUCAUCCCCUCCCACAAUCAUUUUUCUCAAGUUGCGCUACUUCACUUUAUUCAAAAUUCCUGGAAGGCCUUGAAUCAGAUCUGCAAAAAAUAGUGUUCUAUUCCACCAUGACUGAUUUAUGGUUGAGUAGAACUAUGGAACCAUAUAUGAGCCUGACAGUUCAAUACAUUGAUGACGAGUUUCAGCUGAAAAGCAGAUGCUUGCAAACGUCCUAUUUUCUACAAGAUCACACUGGGAAUGCGAUUGCUCAUGGAUUGAAAGAGAUGCUGGCUGCCUGGGGUUUAAAGGAGGAGCAACAAAUCUGCAUCACUACAGACAACGCAGCAAAUAUAGUGAAUGCCAUUGCUAUUAAUAAAUGGACCAGACUACAGUGUUUUGGGCACAGGCUGCACCUAGCAAUUGAAAACGCUUUGAACGAUGGACGGAUUCUGUGCAAUGAAAAUGUGCAAAAAGGUUGUGGGGUGCUUCUCCUAUAGCUGGAGACAAAGGAGGGAGUUGUCCGAGGCCCAGAAAGAGCUUAAGUUAUCUGAACACAAACUCAAGACGGAGUGUCCAACAAGGUGGGGAUCAAAACAAGCAAUGAUUGCCAGGGUGCUGGAACAACAGAAUGCCAUUUCUUGUGUUCUGUCCAUGGACAAAAAAGUCAGACACCUUGUCCCCACAUGGCAGGAUAUAGAAGUCCUUGAGGCAGUCAACAACUCCCUUUCUCCUCUUGCUGAAUUCACUGAUGCUCUUUCAGGAGAGCAAUAUGUAAGUGUAUCAUAUGUGAAGCCUGUUCUUCACUUGUUCAACAAUACAAUCUUGGCAGAGAAGGAGGGAGAAACAGAACUCUCAAAAUGCAUUGAGCAAGAUCCUGGACUACCUGAAUAAGAAGUAUGAUGAUCCACAGACAGAAGAGGUACUUGAUAUGGCUUCUGUUGUUGAUCCCAGAUUCAAGCUUGAGUACAUCAGUGAAGACAGAGUUGAAGCUGUCAAGAUUCGUUUGAGAAUUGAAAUGGCAUCAAUAUCUACAGUCAUGAAGCCUCAACCAUCUGUGAAUGUGAGUGAGGAAGCAGAUGACCAAAAUGCACCAGCAAUAAAGAAGACCAAAAAAAACAUUGGGUAGUUUCUUUAAAGUGGAUGAGGACCACAGACCAGCAUCAUCUACACACUCCAGUCUGCAAGACAUGGCCAUAACUACUGAGCUACAGUCUUAUUUUCUCUCUGCUGCUGUUGAUAGUGAGGAGGAUCCUUUGGUCUGGUGGAAGGAACAUAAAAAGCCAUUCCUAACACUCUACAAGUUGGCACAAAAAUAUCUGUGCAUUCCUGCCACUAGUUCUCCCUUGGAAAGAGUAUUUAGCACUGGAGGAAACAUUGUGACUUGUUUGCGUGCAUCCCUUAAAGCCUGAAAGUGUGGACGGGUUUGUUUUUCUGGCAAAAAAAUCUUUAAAAGUCAAACAAUUGGAACUUAGUUUUGUUCAUUCCUGAAAACAUGAUGUGCUUUCAUGGCUUGUGUUCUAGGCCAAAAGAAUUGAUAAGGCAAACUCUUUUUUUUUUUUUCUUCUUUCCACGUGUUAUCCUAAGAGUUUUUCCAUUGUUUUCAUUUUAGAUAACAUUAUUAUACCAUGCAUAUUUUUGCUUUUGAAUUUUUAAAAAUGUAUUUAAAGAAGAAACCAAACCAAUGUGUAGUUGACCUUUGAGGCUUACUGCUAUA